UGAAGACUAGCUCUCAGAUUCACACAG
Molecule: non-coding RNA, 27 nt
Filed under: Mus musculus (house mouse)
Lineage: Eukaryota; Metazoa; Chordata; Mammalia; Rodentia; Muridae
Source: RNAcentral